UCUGGUGAAGUACAGUGGAUAUGGCAUCUGCCCGGUAAGCGUAACACUGUGGGUUCGAUUCCCAUCUCUAGAA
This 73-nucleotide transfer RNA is filed under the name Cordylochernes scorpioides. RNAcentral describes it as "tRNA-Thr". Lineage: Eukaryota; Metazoa; Arthropoda; Arachnida; Pseudoscorpiones; Chernetidae. The record is from RNAcentral.